Corynebacterium aquilae DSM 44791 is the source of this 74-nucleotide transfer RNA. It matches the Rfam family "tRNA". Rfam says of the family: Transfer RNA (tRNA) molecules are approximately 80 nucleotides in length. The record is from Rfam. NCBI's taxonomy places the organism in Bacteria, Bacillati, Actinomycetota, Actinomycetes, Mycobacteriales, Corynebacteriaceae.
CGGGAUAUGGCGCAGUUUGGUAGCGCACCUGCUUUGGGAGCAGGGGGUCGCAGGUUCAAAUCCUGUUAUCCCGA